AACAGAGGGAAGCGAGCCCGCGAGGGGGAGCGAAUCCCAAAAAUAACGUCCCAGUUCGGAUUGUAGUCUGCAACCCGACUACAUGAAGCUGGAAUCGCUAGUAAUCGCGGAUCAGAAUGCCGCGGUGAAUGCGUUCCCGGGUCUUGUACACACCGCCCGUCACACCAUGGGAGUCGGAAAUGCCCGAAGUCUGUGACCCAACCUUAGGGAGGGAGCAGCCGAAGGCAGGUCGGAUGACUGGGGUGAAGUCGUAACAAGGUAAC
Molecule: ribosomal RNA, 263 nt
Filed under: uncultured bacterium
Lineage: Bacteria
Description: partial 16S ribosomal RNA
Rfam family: Bacterial small subunit ribosomal RNA
Source: RNAcentral